This 449-nucleotide ribosomal RNA is filed under the name uncultured bacterium. RNAcentral describes it as "partial 16S ribosomal RNA". It matches the Rfam family "Bacterial small subunit ribosomal RNA", at positions 30 to 523 of the family's 1533-position model. The record is from RNAcentral.
AUUGAACGCUGGCGGCAUGCCUAAUACAUGCAAGUCGAACGAAGGCUUCGGCCUUAGUGGCGCACGGGUGCGUAACGCGUGGGAAUCUGCCCUCAGGUUCGGAAUAACAGCGAGAAAUUGCUGCUAAUACCGGAUGAUAUCGCGAGAUCAAAGAUUUAUCGCCUGAGGAUGAGCCCGCGUAGGAUUAGCUAGUUGGUGUGGUAAAGGCGCACCAAGGCGACGAUCCUUAGCUGGUCCGAGAGGAUGAUCAGCCACACCGGGACUGAGACACGGCCCAGACUCCUACGGGAGGCAGCAGUGGGGAAUAUUGGACAAUGGGCGAAAGCUUGAUCCAGCAAUGCCGCGUGAGUGAUGAAGGCCUUAGGGUUGUAAAGCUCUUUUACCCGGGAUGAUAAUGACAGUACCGGGAGAAUAAGCUCCGGCUAACUCCGUGCCAGCCGCCGCCGUAA